This 3078-nucleotide long non-coding RNA is filed under the name Homo sapiens (human). RNAcentral's name for it is "non-protein coding lnc-DHX36-2:9". The record is from RNAcentral. Lineage: Eukaryota; Metazoa; Chordata; Mammalia; Primates; Hominidae.
AGGAACUGGCUGGAAGAUGGGGUGUGUGUGCGUAUAUGGGAGCGAGGAAAGCGCUGUAGGAAGCAUGCAGGCCGCUUUAUUUUACAGCUGUGGGAGUGGUGGACAAGGGCGGCGGCUCUGCGAGAAGCACGUGGGCGCGGCGGGCCGCCUCAGGGAUGGAGUAGGCUGUGGUCUUGCCAACUCCCGUUAUCAAAGGCCCAAGGACGCCAUUCACUCAGCCCCGGGCGGGCGUGGGUCUGGGGGCCGGAAACCCGAAGUCCUGUGGGUGCCGUGGAAUGCACGAGCAGCCGGCGGAGCAAACCUGCCCCAUAGAUUUUUCUAAACCGUUCGCCACAGAAACGCUACUCUGUCUUCUCUGACCGACUCUGUGCACUGCAGCCUUGCACAAAGAAAACAGGAGGGUGAUUUUAGAGGCUGUGUGAUCAGACUGGCUCUUAAACCCAAGAGGGACCUCCGCCCACAGCCACCCUCUGGCUCUCCUCUGGCAGUGCCCCUCUUCCGGUCAGGCUGAUGGCCCAGCUGGAGCCUGACCCUCUUCUAGACUACAUACGCUCCAUGUAGUCAGAACUCUGGACUGCUCUGCCCAAAUGGUGCCAAGUUCACUUUCAGGAUCUGGUCGGGACUCUGAACUCACUCCUGUGUCCAAGAAAUAGCUCUUCUUUGGGGUGUGGACAGUACCUGGACCUGUGGGCUAAGGUGUGCACUCCCAGGUGCUUUGGGCCCCUCGUAAUGCAGGAAGAGGGAUCAUUCGCGAUCAGCUUUAUCCUCCAUGACACCUUCCAGCCUGGCCCUUAGAGAAGUCCAGGAAUUCAUAGUUCACAACUGGCCAUCCAGCUCCGUGUAGGAGGUAUUUGUCAAGAAAACCAAAUACAGCAAGAAUGAGAGAAAUUGCACUGUUGCAUUAAAAAGAAUUUUCCUGCCGGGCGCAGUGACUCACGCCUGUAAUCUCAGCACUUGGGGAGGCCGAGGCGGGUGGAUCACGAGGUCAAGAGAUCAAGACCAUCCUCGCCAACAUGGUGAAACCCCGUCUCUACUAAAAAUACAAAAAAUUAGCCGGGUGUGGUGGCGGAUGCCUGUAGUCCCAGCUACUCAAGAAGCUGAGGCAGGAGAAUCACUUGGACCCUGGAGGCAGAGGUUGCAGUGAGCCGAGAUUUCGCCACUGCACUCCAGCCUGGCGACAUAAUGAGACUCUGUCUUAAAAAAAAAAAAAAAAGGAAUUUUCCUCUCACUUUCUUCUCACCACUACUAGAUUAAAGGAGCCCCCUUUUCUUCUGCAGGUGAGAGGUGACAGCGUGCUGGCAGUCCUCACAGCCCUCGCUCGCUCUCAGCGCCUCCUCUGCCUGGGCUCCCACUUCGGCGGCACUUUAGGAGCCCUUCAGCCCACCACUGCACUGUGGGAGCCCCUUUCUGGGCUGGCCAAGGCCGGGGCCGGCUCCCUCAGCUUGCAGGGAGGUGUGGAGAGAGAGGCGCGAGCGGGAACCGGGGCUGCGCGCGUGGCUUGAGGGCCAGCUGGAGUUCCGGGUGGGCGUGGGCUUGGCGGCCCAGCACUCGGAGCAGCCCCCUGCCGGUCCCGGGCAAUGAGGGGCUUAGCACCCAGGCCAGCGGCUGCGGAGGGUGUACUGGGUCCCCCAGCAGUGCCGGCCCACCGGUGCUGCACUCGAUUUCUCGCCGGGCAGGGCUCGGGACCUGCAGCCCACCAUGCCUGAGCCUCCCACCCCCUCCGUGGGCUCGUGUGCGGCCGGAGCCUCCCCUAGGAGCGCCGCCCCCUGCUCCAGGGCGCCCAGUCCCAUCGACCACCCAAGGGCUGAGGAGUGCCGGCGCACGGCGCGGGACUGGCAGGCAGCUCCACCUGCAGCCCCAUUGCGCGAUCCACUGGGUGAAGCCAGCUGGGCUUCUGAGUCUGGUGGGGAUGUGGAGAAGCUUUAUGUCUAGCUCAGGGAUUGUAAAUAUACCAAUCGGCACUCUGUAUCUAGCUCAAGGUUUGUAAACACACCAAUCAGCACCCCUGUCUAGCUCAGGGUUUGUGAAUGCAAUCGACACUCUGUAUCUAGCUACUCUGGUGGGGACUUGGAGAACCUUUGUGUGGACACUCUGUAUCUAGCUAAUCUGGUGGGGACGUGGAGAACCUUUAUAUCUAGCUCAGGGAUUGUAAACACACCAAUCAGCGCCCUGUCAAAACAGACCACUCAGCUCUACCAAUCAGCAGGAUGUGGGUGGGGCCAGAUAAGAGAAUAAAAGCAGGCUGCCCAUGCCAGGAGUGGCAACCUGCUCGGGUCCCAUUCCACACUAUGGGAGCUUUGUUCCUUCACUCUUUGCAAUAAAUCUUGCUGCUGCUCACUCUUUGGGUCCACACUGCCUUUAUGAGCUGUAACACUCACUGCGAAGGUCUGCAGCUUCACCACGAACCCACCGGGAGGAACGAACAACUCCAGAUGCGCCGCCUUAGGAGCUGUAACACUCGCCGCGAAGGUCCGUGGCUUCACUCCUGAGCCAGCGAGACCACGAAGCCCACCAGAAGGAAGAAAUUCCGAACACAUCCGAACAUCAGAAGGAACAAACUCUGGACACGCCACCUUUAGGAACUGUAACACUCACCGCGAGGAUCCGCGGCUUCAUUCUUGAAGUCAGUGAGACCAAGAACCCACUAAUUCCGGACACACAGGGACAGCAAUCCACUGCUUGCCUUGAUGUACGAUUGAAGCCUAUCACCCCUUCUGCAGCAGUGGCUCCAGUAAGUCUUUCAAACUUUGUGGUUUUGAUGGAGACAAAUGAGACAUCAAUUCCCCCAAUUUCCUUUGAGGGAAAAGAAGUUUCCUUUGUAAGUUUUCCUUCAAAAGCCAGCCACAGGGUCUGGUUUAAGGAAUCUGCCUAAUAGGAGUUCUGUUUUACUGGCCACUUGUUACAUAAUCUAGCAAUCAGAAGCUAAAAGAAAAGACUGUGUGUAUGGGUCUUAAGAAGAUAACACAUGCUGGGUGUGAUGGCUCAUGCCUGUAAUCCUAGCACUUUGGGAGGCCAAGGUGGGCAGAUCACUUGAGGCCAGGAGUUCGAGACUAGCCUGGCCAACAUGGCAAAACCCCU